This 1293-nucleotide long non-coding RNA is filed under the name Ananas comosus (pineapple). Its description in RNAcentral is "long non-coding RNA (ACOM_LNC033595)". Lineage: Eukaryota; Viridiplantae; Streptophyta; Magnoliopsida; Poales; Bromeliaceae. The record is from RNAcentral.
AUAUAUAUAAGUUUGCAAUUGAUGGAGUUUUAACGUAUGUACACUCUUAAGGCUGCGUUUGGUUCGGGUAUAAGUAAGAACUGCUAGUUUCAGGGAUAAAUACAAGUUCAGGUAUAAGCAGGAACUAGACCAAUUUUGCGUUUGGAUGAAAAUUGAGUUGUUCCUAGAAAUAAGGUAAAUAGUGUUUGGAUGGUUAGAUUGGAACUAGAGGAAUAAGAGUUAUAAUUUGAAAUUAAAAUUAUAUUAUGUAAUUAGUUAACAUCAAAAUAUUACAUAAAAAUAAAUAAGAAAUUAAUUAUUAAUAAUUAAUUAUAAAUAAUAAUUAUUAUUAAUAAUUAUUAAUAAUUAAUUACAAAUAAUAAAUUAAUAAUAUUGAAUAUCUAAUUAAUAAUAAUAAUUAUUAUUAAUAAAUAAUAGUAAUUAUUAAUUAUUCUUAUUAAUUAAUUAUAAAUAAUAAAUCAAUAAUAAUAUUUAUUCUCUAAUUAUUAAUAAUAAUUAAUAUUAAUAUUUAUUAAUAAAUAAUAAUAAUUAAUAUUAAUAUUUAUUAAUAAAUAAUAAUAAUUAUUAAUAAUUAUUUAUAAAUAAUAAAUUAAUAAUAAUAUUGAUUAUUUAAUUAUUAAGAAUAAUUAUUAUUAAUAAUUAUUAAUAAAUUAUUAUAAUUAUUAUUAAUUAUUAAUAAUUAAUUAAUAAUAAUAAAUUAAUAAUAAUAUCGAUUAUCUAAUUAUUAAGAAUAAUAAUUAUUAAUUAAUGAUGAUUAAUAAAUAAUAAUAAUAAUAAUAAUAAUUAAUUAAUUAAUUAUUAAUUAUAAAUAAUAAAUUAAUAAUAAUAUCGAUUAUCAUUAAGAAUAAUAAUUAUUAAUAAUUAUUAAUAAAUAAUCAUGAAUAUUAUUAAUUAUUAAUAAUUAAUUAUAAAUAAUAAAUAAAUAAAUUAUUUAAUUAUUAAAGCAAUAAAUAAUGAUUUAAAUAUAUUAAUUAGAUUAAUUAAUAAUUUGCUGUCAUUAAAAUUAAAUUUUGAUUUUAAUUAACCUUGUUCUCAUCAAGAAACAAGCUUGUUCCAGGAAACAGGUGGAACAGCAGUUCCAGCCUUAUACUAGCUUGUUCCAGAUUCCUGGGAACUACUGUUCCUGUCACGCCCCGGAUUACUCGUUCCCUGGGCACGCCGACAAAUCCGCCGUACACAAAGAAAUUUUUCCUGUAUAUGAGGCGAUAGCUGUAACUGUAAAAUAUACAAUACUACAACCAGUAGUAUAGAGUUGCUAGAAAAUAAACAGGUACAAACAAACGAGUUCCAUAU